This 73-nucleotide transfer RNA is filed under the name Callorhinchus milii (elephant shark). Its description in RNAcentral is "tRNA-Lys (CTT) (tRNA-Lys-CTT-14-1)". It matches the Rfam family "tRNA". Rfam says of the family: Transfer RNA (tRNA) molecules are approximately 80 nucleotides in length. Their secondary structure includes four short double-helical elements and three loops (D, anti-codon, and T loops). Further hydrogen bonds mediate the characteristic L-shaped molecular structure. tRNAs have two regions of fundamental functional importance: the anti-codon, which is responsible for specific mRNA codon recognition, and the 3' end, to which the tRNAs corresponding amino acid is attached (by aminoacyl-tRNA synthetases). tRNAs cope with the degeneracy of the genetic code in two manners: having more than one tRNA (with a specific anti-codon) for a particular amino acid; and 'wobble' base-pairing, i.e. permitting non-standard base-pairing at the 3rd anti-codon position. Lineage: Eukaryota; Metazoa; Chordata; Chondrichthyes; Chimaeriformes; Callorhinchidae. The record is from Rfam by way of RNAcentral.
AGUUCUGUAGCUUAGUGGUUAAAGCACUCACCUCUUAAGCGAGAGGACCUGGGUUUGAUUCCCGGCAGGACUU